This 253-nucleotide ribosomal RNA is filed under the name uncultured bacterium. RNAcentral describes it as "partial 16S ribosomal RNA". It matches the Rfam family "Bacterial small subunit ribosomal RNA", at positions 524 to 776 of the family's 1533-position model. The record is from RNAcentral.
UACGUAGGGUGCAAGCGUUGUCCGGAAUCACUGGGCGUAAAGCGCGCGCAGGCGGUCAUCUACGUCUGGGGUGAAAGCCCGGAGCUCAACUCCGGGAUUGCCUUGGAUACGGGAUGACUUGAGGAUCGGAGAGGCAAGGGGAAUUCCACGUGUAGCGGUGAAAUGCGUAGAGAUGUGGAGGAACACCUGUGGCGAAGGCGCCUUGCUGGCCGAUUUCUGACGCUGAGGCGCGAAAGCGUGGGGAGCAAACAGG